Molecule: long non-coding RNA, 781 nt
Filed under: Cyanistes caeruleus (blue tit)
Lineage: Eukaryota; Metazoa; Chordata; Aves; Passeriformes; Paridae
Description: lncRNA (ENSCCEG00000002533.1)
Source: RNAcentral
GUUUUUUUGCCUCUGGAACUUCAUUUUACUGCAUUAUCUCUUUUGGGGAGGGUUGUUGGUUUGCUUUUUUGGAUAUAUUUAUAGUUCUUAUUUCAAGAUUUCUUGUUUUUUACAGUUAUUUUAGGGUCAAGGAUGUCACCCUCUAGUGUUUUCUUCCUCCUAAUAUUAGUUUCCAUGGUGGACACCAAAACCUCAUCUGAAAAAGGUGGAUUUUGGGGGCUUUGCCCUAAAAAACCAUUAUUUCCACCUAAAUCAAAUUUUAUCCCACCCACAUCAUACCAUUUUCCUACUAUUCUCUCAAAACCUAUUUGUUCCCCAUGUAAUUCCACAGGGGUCAUUCCCAUUAACCCCAGUUUCACCAUGAAAACCCAAGAGAUGACACAUCCAUUUUCAGAUAACCAAGACCAUGGGAACCCCAAAUUUGGAUUCCCUGCUCUAUUCCUAUGGGACACGCCAGGGGGAUGAAACCAACCCCAAACAUGACGAUCGGACAUCCGAGAUCACCCCCUCUGUUCCCUUCACCUUCUAAGGGAAAACAUACCAAACUGUGUUUGUAGGUCACCCCAAAUUCCAUAGUUUUCAGAAAUUCCUCCAUUUUUCCAAAUUUUUGCUCCAUUUCUACUUAAUUUUUCACUCAUGUAUGUGGGUGUCUGUGUGUAUGUGUGUGUAUCCCCCCAGAAUCAACCCUUCUUAAAUUCAUAGUGGGUUUUAUCCUUGGGCAUUGAAACAUCUUCAGAUGGGUGGGGAACUUGAGGGGCUGGUGGUAUUGGGAGGGUUGAAG